This 200-nucleotide long non-coding RNA is filed under the name Capsella rubella. Its description in RNAcentral is "long non-coding RNA (CRUB_LNC004014)". Lineage: Eukaryota; Viridiplantae; Streptophyta; Magnoliopsida; Brassicales; Brassicaceae. The record is from RNAcentral.
AGGAUUCUGCCAUUUUUAUAUACAUUUUCAUUUCUGAAUUUAUAUGUUUAAACCAAGUAUUGGUGAGUGUCUGGUGAUGUCAAAUCAAUAAGGCAUUAUCAUACUAAUAACCAUAACAAAAAAAAAUAAUAAAAAGAAUAAUGAGUAGCAAAUAAAGAGCCUUCAAGUUUCUAAAAAGGCUUUUACUUAAGAAGUGUUGG